Molecule: ribosomal RNA, 520 nt
Filed under: uncultured Entrophospora
Lineage: Eukaryota; Fungi; Glomeromycota; Glomeromycetes; Entrophosporales; Entrophosporaceae
Description: SSU rRNA
Rfam family: Eukaryotic small subunit ribosomal RNA
Source: RNAcentral
AGCAGCCGCGGUAAUUCCAGCUCCAAUAGCGUAUAUUAAAGUUGUUGCAGUUAAAAAGCUCGUAGUUGAAUUUCGGGAUUGGCGUGUCGGUCGUGCCUUAAGGGGUAUGAACUGGCGUCGUUGAUUUCUCACCUUCUGGAGAAACUCGAUGCCCUUAAUUGGGUGUCGUGCGGAACCAGGACCUUUACCUUGAAAAAAUUAGAGUGUUUAAAGCAGGCAUUUUUGCUCGAAUACAUUAGCAUGGAAUAAUAAAAUAGGACGGUUGGUUCUAUUUUGUUGGUUUCUAGGAUCACCGUAAUGAUUAAUAGGGAUAGUUGGGGGCAUUAGUAUUCAAUUGUCAGAGGUGAAAUUCUUGGAUUUAUUGAAGACUAACUACUGCGAAAGCAUUUGCCAAGGAUGUUUUCAUUAAUCAAGAACGAAAGUUAGGGGAUCGAAGACGAUCAGAUACCGUCGUAGUCUUAACCAUAAACUAUGCCGACUAGGAAUCAGACGAUGUUAAUUUUUUAAUGACUCGUUUUGG